RNAcentral lists this unclassified non-coding RNA (1348 nucleotides) under Yarrowia lipolytica. The record is from RNAcentral. Lineage: Eukaryota; Fungi; Ascomycota; Dipodascomycetes; Dipodascales.
UUUUCCUACCUAUCCCCUCCACCUCCCCUCCUCCUGCACUACAAGUAGUAGAUGCACAACAGUAGAAAACUCGGUCGAUAUGGAAGAUGAAAAGACAUGGACUAGACCACCGAAUCCAAGCUCUUGAAGCGAUCAUUUUGGUGCUACAAAAUACCCGAAACUUGCCGAGAUGCUGGGCAAGAGCAAAAUUCAGAUGCUCGCCCGUCAUCAUCGGCACAUGCACGCUCAGAAGUGAGGAGAGUUGAUAUGGUAGUAAGGAGGGUUGACAUUCCGUUUUGUUUGACCCAGUGGAUCUACCAACCCUUUAGCACGACUGCUGAUCAACAUUCGUGUUAUGGGUUGAUGAGCAUUCGAGUUGGCGAACAUUUGUGUUGAUCAACUAGCGUGCUGAUAUCGUGCUGAUGUCGUGCUGAUAUCGUGAUGAUGGAAAUUCAAGUUGAACUACAAUCGUCCAUUUAAUCGCGCUGAUUACUGCGCGGAAACAGAUACUGUCACCAACUCUCACCAACUCCCACUAGCUCAUUGCAGAUUCGGACUCAAAGGUGCCCGAAAUCGACCCACUGGUCUCCAAGAGGUCUCCAAGAGGUCUCCAAGAGGCGACCCACUGAUGUCCAAAUCGACCCACUGGUCUCAAAUAUUGCUUGGACAUCUGUUGAGCCGCAGAACCUCCAACGGUCGUGUCAACAGCCGCGUCGACGCAGACGUAGGCAACUCUGCAGACGGAAAAUCUGCAGACGGAAAAUCUGCACGGAAAAACUGGAUUUUUGGAGAUGAUAAGGCAUGACUGACCGCAAUCGACAUUCAUUGCAACUUCUCCAGUCGUCUCACUGUUCCGCUCACUGUUACAGUCUCCGUCUCCGCUUCAGACCUCCUCCAGUCUCCAUUCCAGACCUCCUCCAGUCUCCUCCUCCAGUCUCCACCUCCAACCCCCCUCCAACCCUCCACCUCCAAUCCUCCACCCAGACCCACCCACCAUUGUAUGCACUCGCACUACCCCUACACCUCAACAAAAUGUGCUUGCGACAAGUACAAAAAUGCAGCAGGCAUCUUUAGUUGCAGAUGCAGAAUGAAGUCUGUGCUAUCCACGGUGCGGUAGCGUGCAGAGCUGGACCGAAAAUGAUAGUAGCUCUUUUCAUCUGAAGAGUACGUACUAACGUUGUCAGGUAGAGCAUGUAAAUACCGUUCCGGCCAAUUGUUCAUUCUCUAGUGAUAUGUAACGAGUAAUUGUGUGUGUUUUGCGAAUAUCACUUUCUGUUUAAUUUAGAAACUUACUUGGUCAACAAAACAUCCCAAUUAAACCCGUUUAAUAUUCCAACUAAUUCAAAACCCCGAUUGAGACAGAAACGCA